This 313-nucleotide ribosomal RNA is filed under the name uncultured Ascomycota. RNAcentral describes it as "partial large subunit ribosomal RNA". It matches the Rfam family "Eukaryotic large subunit ribosomal RNA", at positions 40 to 350 of the family's 3401-position model. The record is from RNAcentral. Lineage: Eukaryota; Fungi; Ascomycota.
GUAUCAAUAAGCGGAGGAAAAGAAACCAACAGGGAUUGCCUCAGUAACGGCGAGUGAAGCGGCAACAGCUCAAAUUUGAAAUCUGGCCUCUUCGGGGUCCGAGUUGUAAUUUGUAGAGGGUGUUUCGGGCGAGGGGCCGGCCUAAGUUCCUUGGAACAGGACGUCAUAGAGGGUGAGAAUCCCGUAUGCGGCCGGUCGUCGAGCCCAUGUGAAACCCCUUCGACGAGUCGAGUUGUUUGGGAAUGCAGCUCUAAAUGGGUGGUAAAUUUCAUCUAAAGCUAAAUACCGGCCAGAGACCGAUAGCGCACAAGUA